UGCGCAGGCGGAACUUUAAGUCAGUGGUGAAAUCUUGCCGCUUAACGGUAAAAUUGCCAUUGAUACUGAAGUUCUUGAAUAUGGUUGAGGUAGGCGGAAUGUGUUGUGUAGCUGUGAAAUGCAUAGAUAUGACACAGAACGCCGAUUGCGAAGGCAGCUUACUAAGCCAUUAUUGACGCUGAGGUACGAAAGCGUGGGGAGCGAACAGGAUUAGAUACCCUGGUAGUCC
Molecule: ribosomal RNA, 229 nt
Filed under: uncultured bacterium
Lineage: Bacteria
Description: partial 16S ribosomal RNA
Rfam family: Bacterial small subunit ribosomal RNA
Source: RNAcentral